RNAcentral lists this microRNA precursor (68 nucleotides) under Nematostella vectensis (starlet sea anemone). Its description in RNAcentral is "mir-9428 microRNA precursor family". It matches the Rfam family "mir-9428 microRNA precursor family". Lineage: Eukaryota; Metazoa; Cnidaria; Anthozoa; Actiniaria; Edwardsiidae. The record is from Rfam by way of RNAcentral.
ACCGCUCACGAACAUAGGAACACUGUUCGCGAAAGUUUCGCGAACAACGUUCGCGAAAUUCGCGAACA